Molecule: small RNA, 1050 nt
Filed under: Arabidopsis thaliana (thale cress)
Lineage: Eukaryota; Viridiplantae; Streptophyta; Magnoliopsida; Brassicales; Brassicaceae
Description: ATSL067760
Source: RNAcentral
UCUACUUUUAUUACAAUUGUGAAUGGGCAAUAAAUUAGAUUUUGGUAAAUAAAAAAACUAAAAUAUUUUUACCUAUUUUCUACUAAAUAUUUUCCCAUGAUUUUCCUUCUAAUUUCCUACAAAAUUUCUUAUACAAAUGUAAUCUUAGGAAAAUUGAAGGAAGUCGUCCUUACCAUUUUCGUACCAAUUAUUUUUCCAUGACUUUCUUUCCAAUUUCCUACGAGAUUUCCUACGACAAUACAUUUCGUAGGAUUUUGGUAGAAAAUUUUGUACGAAAUUUUGACGACUAUUUUCAUAGUAAUCUCACAGAAAUUUGGUAAGAAAUAUCUUCUACUAAAAUUUUGGUAGGAAAUUUGGUAGGAAAAACCUAUGUUUUCUUGUAGUCCUACACUAGAAAAAAUGGAACCUUACGAACACUAGGGAAAGUAUUUGAUGAUAAAGGCAAGCUUGUCUGUUUGUUUAAGCAUCGAAAAGACGGAGAAGAAGACGCAAAAUAAAAAGCAGCUGUCUAUUUGUUGGACCACCCUAUUUCCUCACAUCGUUCCACUUCUUCGGAUCUCAUUGGUUUUGGUGGUGCUACACCAACUGUUUUUAACCGAACAAAGGAAGGUUGUUUGGUUUCUUAUGUUGAGAAUGAUGGUGUUGUUGGUGACUUCAUCACUCAAUUCCAAUUCAGGACUCUCCCUCAAGAAAUCCACAAGCUCGACAUUUUCCAUAUUCGCUUUGGAAGUACGGAUUGUCAUGAUUGGAACACAAUAUCCCUGAUAGAUGCGGAAGGGAUACACCGUUUGAAUUUCAUAGAUAAUGAAAAGUGCUUCAAUACCGAAGUAAGUUUGAUUUUUUUUUAUGUUUUAGUCUCUAUUUAUGUCACACUAAUGUCGUUAACAAUAUCUUCUUCUUUGUGUAGUAUAAUUUUCGUACAAAAAGAUUAAGUCAAAACAAUCUUUCACUAACAAAAUGGUGAACUAUGUGAAUGGGCUCGACGUGGAAGGUGAUAUCUUAUUUUUGAAAGCAUGUGGAUGGGAUGUUCCAAGAGAGAUUACGGUCCCU